Triticum dicoccoides is the source of this 311-nucleotide long non-coding RNA. RefSeq lists it as uncharacterized. The record is from RefSeq and is a predicted model, not a curated record. The transcript is spliced from 3 exons. Lineage: Eukaryota; Viridiplantae; Streptophyta; Magnoliopsida; Poales; Poaceae.
GAUACGCGAGUUUUCCACAGCCCAAUCCCUCCGAGCCCCCUCCGAUACCCCCCUUUCCACGCGGUUUUCAGCCCUCGAGGGGGGACUCGAGGAUUCAGAGGAGUCGCCACCGCCGCCGCCCGACUCCUCCUCAAGACGCCGCCGCCCGCCGCCUUUACGCCGACGUAUCUCCUCCGGCAUACCCCUGGCUAUGGCAGAGAGCCGUGAGAUCUUUCUCAAUUCUGCCGCUGAAGAUGAAGAGAGUGCCGCCAUGUUUCUUCGGAGCGAAAUGGCAGAGUUGCCUUGAGGGACCUGACCUCGCGGAAGACGGA